RNAcentral lists this ribosomal RNA (121 nucleotides) under Paenibacillus alvei. RNAcentral describes it as "partial 23S ribosomal RNA". It matches the Rfam family "Bacterial large subunit ribosomal RNA", at positions 2800 to 2925 of the family's 2925-position model. The record is from RNAcentral. Lineage: Bacteria; Bacillati; Bacillota; Bacilli; Caryophanales; Paenibacillaceae.
CAAGAUGAGAUUUCCCAAUUAGUAAGACCCCUUGAAGACGACGAGGUAGAUAGGUUGGAGGUGGAAGCACAGCAAUGUGUGGAGCUGACCAAUACUAAUCGGUCGAGGGCUUAUCCUAUUU